This 73-nucleotide transfer RNA is filed under the name Paramuricea clavata. It matches the Rfam family "tRNA". Rfam says of the family: Transfer RNA (tRNA) molecules are approximately 80 nucleotides in length. Their secondary structure includes four short double-helical elements and three loops (D, anti-codon, and T loops). Lineage: Eukaryota; Metazoa; Cnidaria; Anthozoa; Malacalcyonacea; Plexauridae. The record is from Rfam by way of RNAcentral.
GACCGCGUAGCUCAGAUGGCAGAGCAUUUGGCUAGUAUUCCAAAGGUCGUAGGUUCGAUUCCCACCGUGGUCA